UUCAUUGUUAUUAUUAUUAUUUUUUGAGAAGGAGUCUCACUGUCACCCAGGCUGGAGUGCA
RNAcentral lists this small nucleolar RNA (61 nucleotides) under Macaca nemestrina (pig-tailed macaque). RNAcentral's name for it is "Small nucleolar RNA Me28S-Am2634 (ENSMNEG00000014991.1)". Lineage: Eukaryota; Metazoa; Chordata; Mammalia; Primates; Cercopithecidae. The record is from RNAcentral.